GAUGAACGCUGGCGGCGUGCCUAACACAUGCAAGUCGAGCGGAAAUAUUCAGAAGUAUACGUACGGAUGGAUAUUUUAGCGGCGGACGGGUGAGUAACACGUGAGCAACCUACCUUUUGCUGGGGAAUAACAUCGGGAAACCGAUGCUAAUACCGCAUGACAUUCCGAUGGGGCAUCCUGUUGGAAUCAAAGGAGAGAUCCGGCAAGAGAUGGGCUCGCGUCCGAUUAGCUGGUUGGUGAGGUAACGGCUCACCAAGGCGACGAUCGGUAGCCGGACUGAGAGGUUGGACGGCCACAUUGGGACUGAGACACGGCCCAGACUCCUACGGGAGGCAGCAGUGAGGAAUAUUGGUCAAUGGACGAGAGUCUGAACCAGCCAAGUCGCGUGAAGGAAGACGGCCCUACGGGUUGUAAACUUCUUUUGUAAGGGAAUAAAUAGUCUUACGCGCUAAGACGUUGCAGGUACCUUACGAAUAAGGAUACGGCUAACUCCGUGCCAGCAGCC
This 505-nucleotide ribosomal RNA is filed under the name uncultured bacterium. RNAcentral describes it as "bacterial SSU rRNA". It matches the Rfam family "Bacterial small subunit ribosomal RNA", at positions 28 to 516 of the family's 1533-position model. The record is from RNAcentral.